UAUUCUACCCCACGGGGAAGGAUGAGAAGCUUCGACCAAGGUUCGACUCGAGCGCAGCGAGAGAACGUUGCCGCAGGCAACGGCCCGAAGGGCGAGGCGCUUUAGCGCCGAGUUAUCCUUCCCCCACCACCA
This 132-nucleotide small RNA is filed under the name Klebsiella sp. J-Nf11. RNAcentral's name for it is "RtT sRNA". It matches the Rfam family "RtT RNA". From Rfam's summary of the family: This family represents a bacterial cis-regulatory element known as RtT RNA. The exact function of RtT is unknown although it is thought that it may be involved in changing the cellular response in relation to amino acid starvation. Lineage: Bacteria; Pseudomonadati; Pseudomonadota; Gammaproteobacteria; Enterobacterales; Enterobacteriaceae. The record is from RNAcentral.